RNA transcript from Coffea arabica (coffee), 1463 nucleotides. It is a transcript of the gene named universal stress protein PHOS32, with no coding region annotated. The record is from RefSeq and is a predicted model, not a curated record. Lineage: Eukaryota; Viridiplantae; Streptophyta; Magnoliopsida; Gentianales; Rubiaceae.
AUACACUCAUCUCAAUUCUGAGCUUGCUUUGAUAAGGUAGUCGAUGGAGAUGGGGGACGAGAAUCAAGUAAUGUACGAAAAUGAAAUAUGUACCAAGCGAAACCAAAAGCUGGCGAAUACGAUUGGUUUGACGUCAAAAUGUUGACUUUUUUCUCGACAUAAAUCCCCAACUUCGCGAAUGUUCAUUUGUAGUACCAGAUUCCACCACCUCCAACAGCCCUGUACUUCUUCCUGUACAACCUUUUGAGAAAAACACGCACACUUCACACACUCCAAAUACUCACAAAACCAAGAAGACAACAGAAACUAAUCGAAACCCACAAAUUAUUCAUUAAAGCCCACCUAAAAUCCGUUAAGGAAAGAGGAAUUAGGAAAAAGUUAUAGUCUUUAUCCUUUCCGCAUGGCAUCACCGCAAAAGCCGCCGGCGGAGUCGGACCGACCACCGGCCGCGAUUCUCCACCAGCCAGCUUCACCCCGCUUCCCAUCUGGGACACCGACAUCCGGGGCCAAUCGGAAGAUAGCUAUCGCCGUCGAUCUCAGUGACGAGAGCGCCUACGCGGUGAAAUGGGCUGUUCAGAAUUACCUACGUCCCGGCGACGCCGUGAUCCUCCUCCACGUCCGUCCCACCUCCGUUCUCUAUGGCGCUGACUGGGGUUCCGUCGACUUAUCGGUCACCGACGAGGAAUCCCAGCAAAAAAUGGAAGAUGACUUCGACAAUCUCACCACAACUAAAGCUAAUGACUUGGCGCAGCCGCUGGUGGAAGCCAAUAUUCCGUUCAAGAUCCAUAUUGUUAAAGACCAUGAUAUGAAAGAAAGACUUUGUUUGGAAGUGGAGAGAUUGGGAUUGAGUGCGGUAAUCAUGGGAAGCCGGGGGUUUGGGGCGGCGAGGCGAAGUACUAAAGGAAGACUUGGGAGUGUUAGUGAUUAUUGUGUCCAUCAUUGUGUUUGUCCUGUGGUUGUUGUUAGGUACCCUGAUGAAAAAGAUGGAGCUUCUGAUGUAGGAGAAGGUUUGAAAAAAUCAGGGGAGUUGAAGAAUCUUGAAGGGCUUCACCCUGUUCCUGAGGAGGAGCCUAUCUAUCAUGAUUCCUCGGAUAAAGCUACAGCGAUACCAAAAUAAAAAAGACUUGUGCUUGACAAGCUCCUGGAUGAAUAAGGAUUACUCCUAAUUGUUCGAGUUAAAGAGGAGCCUUUUUUUCCUCAUUUGAUUUACAAGAUUCGGAGAAGGCUUCUUAAGAAGAUGGAACCGGAGCGAAGUGACCGAAUGAACCUGAGUGGUGUGGACUUCUUCCUGUUGAAUAUUGGGGAGUGGUUGUUUUGAGGUCUUUAUUUCUGCCUAUGCUUGGCAACUGUCUUUCAAGAACAAAUGAAGUUUGAAUGGGAUUGUUAAUGAGUAUCUUUGCUCUCUUCUAAGCUUCCAAAAUGGGUUUCAAUGCUCUUAUUUUGCCUUAAUAUAUACCUCAACG